UGAUUGGACCAAGUGAGCAGGAAGUAG
This 27-nucleotide non-coding RNA is filed under the name Mus musculus (house mouse). Lineage: Eukaryota; Metazoa; Chordata; Mammalia; Rodentia; Muridae. The record is from RNAcentral.